UUUUUUGUCUUAGGGUAUAGAAAUUUGUAAAGGAAAUAGGAAUACCCAAUAUAUUGGUUUUUCCGACCAUUAUAUUGGGUAAGGAGAGAAAAAUACCCGGGGGUCUCUAAAACCCCUCGAUUGGGUAGGUCUCUAAAAUCUCUUUACUUUAUUGGAUAAGCAUACUCAGUUGGUCUAAAAACCCAAUAUGGUAAGUAAAGAAAAGUAAUUGAUCUAGAAAAGUUAAGCAAUAUGGAGUUAAGCAAUAUGGUAAGGAAAGAGAAAUACUCAAUAUAUGGGUCUUAAAAAUCCAUGGGUAUUUCUCUUUUUUUUUUUGCUUCGUUUGCUCUCUAUUUUUUUUUCUUCUUCAUUACAAAUUUAUUAUCGUUAUCGUUUCUGGCAUCCCUCGCGAAAUUCCGGG
RNAcentral lists this unclassified non-coding RNA (400 nucleotides) under Machaerina rubiginosa. Its description in RNAcentral is "partial miscellaneous RNA". The record is from RNAcentral. Lineage: Eukaryota; Viridiplantae; Streptophyta; Magnoliopsida; Poales; Cyperaceae.